Molecule: long non-coding RNA, 115 nt
Organism: Gopherus evgoodei (Goodes thornscrub tortoise)
Lineage: Eukaryota; Metazoa; Chordata; Testudines; Testudinidae
Exons: 3
Source: RefSeq, a predicted model, not a curated record
UGUAAGCAAGCAGUUUUUAAGUGAUGUGUAACUUGGGGGUAGGCCAGACAAAUCAGCCUCCUGAAAGGGGUGCAGUCGUCUGGAAUGGUUGAGAGCCCCCGCACUAGGGGAGAAG